CCGAGCAGACUGAAAAAAAAAACCACACACGGAGGACGGGCUCACCUCCUCUCCCUCUCGCCCACGAUGUCCUCGCCGCCGCCACCACCCAUGCCGUCCGCUUCCGGUGAGCUCCGGCGCCACGCACCAUGCCCCUGAGCUCCCAACGGUCCUCUCCUCGCUCCCCUCCAGCCAGAUUCUCUGCUCCCGGCCUCUACCGCCCGCUCGCAACCCCAUCCCCAUGGCUAGGGUUUCAAGCAGGGCUUCGCCGACGUCAAGGGCAUCUUCACGGAGAUGUGAAGGAUGCCAUGGACCUGCAGCUCCUCAUGGUUUUAUCAUGUUCCUAUCUCAUCCGCUCCCUUUCCCGUCCCUUCCCCAUCUCGGUUCCUUCCCUUCUUGCGCAGGUCAGCAGGGAGGAACUAUAGCCAGCAGCACCUCCUCACCUUGGAUGACGCCUCUGCUGUGCCAAAAUAGGGCAAGCAACCCCAUCUGCUCUCAAUCUCACCCAUUAGCACAAGUCCAGUUUUUUUGAACAAAAUUCUGCUACUACACGAACAAGUCCAUGAAUAGAUCUAUUUUUAUUUGUGAAUUGAUAUCCUUCCAAACACAAACAGUGUAUAUAUGUGUUGUUUUUAUUUUUGUACCCUUUUCAUUUUUGUGCUUUUAUAUGUAAGCUCAUAAAAUAGUUAUACUGAAAAUGACAUGUAAGUUCUUACUGUGGGAGUAUGACGACAUGAAAUUCUAACUGAAUUCUUUUCAGCUGGAAAACGCCUUUCUACAAAAAGGAAAUAAAUUAUUCAAUUCUUGGUUCCACAUAGUCCUAAUUGCUUACAGUUUUAUCUCUGUUCAAUCUAUCUUACUGAAUUUCUGAACAACCAGGGUUGCUAGCAUGCUGUGUGGUGGAUUUGUUUUUUUGAAAUUGUUUCACGGCUAUUUGAGUGCUUUUGUUCGUUCUGUUCAUCAGUUCUUUCUAGUAUAGUGACUCAAGAAGUGAUUCUUCUGCAAAGUGAUGUGCUCUCAAUCGAGCCAGGCUCCAGGAAAGGUGACCAAGUGGUGUGUGUUUACCUAGCCGAGCAUAAUCUGAACGACUCCAACUGUUGUGUACAAAUCCAGCUAUGCAAGUGCAAGUAAAACUACGGUGGUUGUUGCAUCCACAAGCUGAGUACAAGGCAGGCUGACUACUAGGAGCCAGUAUGACAAGUCUACAAAGAUCUCCAGUACUGACAAGGCUCAGUCUGUACAAGGGGGUGUCUCAGUCUGGUUUGCCGUAGGUCUUCAUCGCUAUGUUGAAUCACAUGCUCCUUAUAGUCUAAUGCAAGUUGCUCAUAUUCAGAAAAUUGGUUACUCUUGAAUGAGGAAAUAAGGUGCUGAUAUAAGCAUUAACAUUAGAGUUCACAAUCAGGAACUAACUAAAGCAUUAACAUUGUAUAGACUGUAUACAUUAAAACAAUCAGUGCCGAUGCUAAUUUCAGCCUUUUAUUUCUGGAGUCAAGGGAUAACCUUUAUUUGAAUGGUUAUAUUUUUAUUUCAAUUGGAAACAAUCUUGAUGCACCAUUGAAGUUAUUUAAUAAGAACUAUCAACUACUCCUUUUCUAUUUUUGCAUAUUAAUGGCCCCAGGUACUCAACUGAGGAACACACCAUGCCACUUCGAAUCAAUAUUAUCACCAUGUAUGGAAGAUACUAGGAACCAUGACUUUCUGAUGAAUAUUCUUAUGCCAUAGAAGUUUCUCACUUAUAUAAAUUAAAUUUAACUCACAAUAUAGAAUGCACUUAGUAAAAUAAAAAAUAUCAGAACAAAAGUAGAAAUUUUCCCCAAACAAUUAUGUUUACACUUCUCCUACUGUUUAGAGGUUGGUUUAGUUUUACCCUGUCAAGAAAAAAUCAUAUAUAGUUCUCCAGAAUUGGCCUGGCUUAUCACAUUACGAAGAUCCACACUGUGGUAGUUCCCUUUGUAAACAUGUACUUUCAAUCGUGGUGAUAUUUUUCAACCUAGAUGUACCACAUCAUGCAAGUUAGAUAAAGAAUACAAAUAAGAAAUAACUAGGCCAUAUUAAUGGUGGUUUCACUCUAAAUAGGACUAAGCAUAAGCUUGUAAAAUAAAGAGCACAUUAGUUGAUUCUCUACAUAUAAUAUCACUGCAUAUUACAUUCAGGUUGUAUAAGACUGAAUUUGUUUUUUCUGUUCGGUUCCGCAGAUGUCAGUGUGAACUGGUCACUGCUUUCGGAAAGUGUAGGUAAGUGGGUUACAUUUUAGAAGAUAACACAAUAUUGGUGAUGCCUUAUGGACACAUCGCUGUUAAGGAUAAUGCUUUUGCAAUGAGUAUUGACAUUUCUGGUUGGUAUAAUGCAACACGGUGGAAUCUCUUUGUAACAUUGCAACUGAAUAUCUUGCAUGCAAUUCAAGGUGUACAGUGAUGUCGAGUGCACCGGGUUUGCAGAGCUGCCCCAAGUGCAAGCUCUACAUUGACAGAGUGGAUGCUUGCACCUUGCGCCUGCAGGUAACUAUUGGUUCCCCAAGUCUCCUUCCUACGUGUGGGCACUGUAUUUGGUACUUGUGUGGAUCCACAAUUUCUAGGUUGUAGAAACUGCAGGACUACAUGGUGAUUUGUCAAUGAUCUUAAGUUGGCCGACUCUACUACAUGGAAAGAAUUAAUUAUGCAAAUCCAAACUAUUUCUGUAUAAAGACUGGAUACUACUGUUAAUACUGAUUUGGUUAACAACAUUUAGCUCAUGCAACUCUAAUGCCAGUUUGGCCAUCACUAUCAGAAGUAACACCUAUACAAGCUCUAUUAGUAAACAUCACAAUUCAUGAGUGUUGUUUGACAUCACAUUAGUGAGCUCCUCGCUCUUGUGAUCAUGUGUUAUGGAGUCAUAACCAUUUUCAGUUAUUUUCAUGCCAGCACAUUCGAUGUUUUCUGUUUAAUGUUAAAUCAUAACCAUUAAUUAGUCCAUCAAUGUCUUUUAGUAUGUGUUUUCACUGCAAAAGUUUAACCAUUGCAGUUUCCUGUGUGCAGAAGCUUGUAGUUUGUUAACUGAUUUCUGUGAUUUGUUUUCUGUAUGCAGCCCCCACUUAUGUGGAUGGUUCGGCAUAUCCAUAUAAGCUUUGUCUUGCAAUGAUGGUCCAAAGUUUCAAAAAAUAUAUUAUAUGAAGUUUCAAAUUACUUUUUAAAAGUUUGAUGCAUCUCAAGGACAGUUAGUGGUUGUGUCCGGUAUCUAAGUAGCACACAAUUGUUGAAGGGUCAUGACAGAAUCAGAAUUUCGCAUUCCUUUUCCAAGGUAGCAUGGAUUCGGGAACUUAUUCAUCAGACUAAUUAGAGAAUAUUUUUACUAAUCUGGGCCGGAUAACGUGGCGGCUCGAGUGACUAGGGGCGGCGCGGCUGCUAGAUGCAGAACAGCGGUGGAUGCUGGAGCUUGAAGGGUCCAGAUCCGUGCGCGGUAGGGGUUGGGGAGGCGGAUCCAGAGAUGGGCGACAAGGAGAGGGUCGCUGGUGACGACGAGGAAGACCGGAGCGCAUCUUCCCAGGUGGAUCCAUGGCAUCCAUGACUCCUGGGCAGAAAGGAGACAUGGAGGUGAGGGACAGAAGGAGGCGCGGUGCGGCGACCUUACGUAUUGAAAGUUCACUUCAAAAAUCUGGAGAACUAGCUGUAACCCCCUUCUCAUAUCCUUGCACAGUUAGGUACGUGCAGGACCUUGCAACAUUCAGUCAAGCAAGUAGCCGCUGCUGUUGGAACGCCGUUGUGUGGGCAGUGCUGAAGCAGUCGGCUCGUCCUCGGAUUAGAGCAGUGCCGAGUCCGCCUGGUCGUCCUCGCAGCGGGGAAGUCCCGAGGCUGCCGGGUCGCAAUCGAGUGCAGCAGCGCCGCGGCCACCGGUUCGCCGCCUGAUAGAACAACACCAAGGCUACCAGGCCAUCGUAGCGUCAAGCAGCACCGAGGGCCCAUCUUUUUUUUAUUUGUACUAUAACAAUAUGAAGUUUGUAUUUUAACAAUCUUUUAUUAUUUUACAUGUAUUAUGUCCAGCUUGCUGUUGCGAGUCCUUGUUUAUUCUUGUGACGAAUUUAACUAUGAUUUUCAGCU
Triticum urartu is the source of this 4052-nucleotide non-coding RNA. The record is from RefSeq and is a predicted model, not a curated record. NCBI's taxonomy places the organism in Eukaryota, Viridiplantae, Streptophyta, Magnoliopsida, Poales, Poaceae.